Macrobrachium nipponense is the source of this 7014-nucleotide long non-coding RNA. RefSeq lists it as uncharacterized. The record is from RefSeq and is a predicted model, not a curated record. Lineage: Eukaryota; Metazoa; Arthropoda; Malacostraca; Decapoda; Palaemonidae. The transcript has 3 exons.
CAAUGCAAGUCCACUGUGUCCACGAGUUCAGAAAACAGGCUGUUCAGAGAGCUAGAGCUUGUGAUGGCAUAAGGCCUUACUCCACAUGUUCACGAAUGUGUUGGAAUGAUAUGGUCUGGAGUUUGUGAUUUCGCGUAUUUUACGAAUGACAUACGAAAGAUUUUGUAUGUAAAAGAGACUGUCAUACAACAUGAACUCCUUUUUUUUAAGGUCUGGGAUGACAAUUGAGUGGUGGUGGGCGAGAUAACAGACGCACUCUGCGUGAAGAGAGCUUAUUACGCUGAAGGUGAUGAUACGUAUGGUGGAGGUAAGACCUGCUGUGAUGUAUGGGCUAGAGAGAGCACCACUUAAGAAAAUGCAUUGAAAUAAGUUAAACAUGGCUGAAAUGAGGAUGCUCUGAUGGAUGAGUGGAGUGACGAGAAGACAGAGGAUAAAAAAUGGAUACAUUAGAGGAUCAGCAAAGUCACUGAACACCCGUACGGUGGUAAUGCACCUCAGUGCACCUCAUGCGGGGCAAGGAACAAUGCCCAGGAGUCUGACGAAUGAUCUUGCAGUCCAACACUUCGAUCAUUUUGACAGAGGAACAAUUCAUCUCCCUAGCUCUUACAACCAGGAUCGAAACAAGCUUCAGUGAGAAGAAUUAGCUUUUAUCCUAGUGUAAAGUGUCCUGAAUGAUCCUAUUUCUGCUUUUAAGGUAAGGCAAGUUUGUGUUAUCUGAACUCGGUGCACUAGAUUAUUCUGACUAUAGAAACUGUGUAACCUAUCUGCUAAAUUUACAGUCCACUAAUCAUCACUUAUCAAACUCACACACAGCUUGGGGGUUAUUAAAUUUGUCUCUGCACCUUUCCCACCUCCUUUGCUUAAUGUAGGAAUUGGCUAUCAAAAUACUACAGGUAAGAUUAAUUUCAAAUAGUACAGGCAAUUCCCGGUUAUCGACUGGGGUUCUAUCCCAACGGCUUGAUGAUAAAGCGAAAAUCACUAUGACUAAAAAUCGACAAUUUUUUACGUUUACUGGCACCGAUAACCAGUUAAUGGCACCUCUGUUAGGUAUGCUUCAGGGCCAGUACUCUACUAUCAGCGUUGACAACUGGAAGUCUGUGCAUUUCGGCCCCAAAAAUUGCCAAUUUUUGGUGCUAGACAAGCCCCAUAAAACCGGAUCACCAAUGAUAAUGGAAAAUCAGCAAUAAUAACACCAAUGUCCAGUUAUUGGCGCUGAUAAUUGGGUGUUUGUGCUGAUAACCCCCGGGGAUUGGCGCAUAUUGGCACCAAAAAUCCAGUUAUCGUCGUUGUUAGACAAGCGUUGUAAAACUAGAUCACCAAUAACCGAGGUUGCCGAUAACUGGGGACUGCCUGUAAUGUUGCUUUAUUAUCCAUUUAUGCGAAAAGGCCCAAAAAUCUGACAGCUGAACACACAGUUCCCAUAUUCUGUUCAGCCUGUCGGAGGCAAGGGUCUCUUCCUUGACCUAUUUCGACCAGGAAGACCACCCAGGGGAGGCAAAGCACCAAUCAAUUUAGGUUACUCAGUCUAUGGUUUGUAUAUUGUGUAGGAACACAUGACAAAAUUUUAAAGUAAUUUGUAUUUUCCCUAACUAUACAAACCAGAGGUCUUUACAUUAGUAUAUGCCCACCUGAUGCCACCCCUCAGUCUGACACCUAGCCCAAAAGGCAAAAUAGAAUGGGAACUUGAAGUGAAACUUAUCUGUAUCGGUACCAUUUCCAGCAAGUGACGGCUUGACCUACCAUCUACCUGCAAGGAGAGGAAGGAUGAAGGAGAAAGGAGGGUAGCAAGUGAUGGCUUGACCUACCCUCUACUCGCAGGGAGAGGAAGGAUGAAGGAGAAAGGAGGGAAGUCCAGUCACUCACAUACAUACCCUUACAUUCACAGCUGAACACCUUAAGGCAAGGUGCUACCUAUCUUCUUAGAGGAGUCGAGUAAGCUGCAAACUUGUUGACCACACCCCUGCCUUCAGUACCUGAGGAACAGACAGAUUCUUCCUGAAUGCAAGGCUCUUGCCCAGAAUGCACCUGGAUUCUCCUCGCUCAAAGUGGAGUACGCCUGUUUGACCACCUCACGAAGCCAGAAAGAGAUCUUGUUCUUGGGCACCUCUUUCUUGGUCGAGCCAGUACUAACAGAGUUGUCAACACUUAUGCCUGAGGUGUUGAAUUGUCUUUAGAUAGUACCGCUGAACUCUAGUAGGACAGAGUAGCAUCUUGUCUGGAUCAUUAGCAAUAUGAAUCUUCGCUACGAAAUUGAGAGUAACCAAUCCCCUUCUCUUUGCUGAUGCCAGGGCAACCAGAAAGAUGGUCUUGAGAGUCACAUCCCUAUCUGAUGGCUCUCAUAGAGGCUCAUAUGGUGCAUGAGUGAGGCUCCUCAGAAUGAGAGUCAUAUCCCACUCAGGCGGCCUGAGUUCCCUGGGAGGGUAAGACCUUUCAAUGCCCUUCAUCACCAGAGAAAUCUCCAGAGAGGAGGAGAUAUCAACACCUUUCAGGCAUAAGAAGAUUAGGCUGAGGGUGACUGCAGAGGAUUGUCACAGGUAUCCAGACAUCUCUCGCUCACGAGAUGCUGAAUAGUCUCUAGCCAUUAAGUGGCAGGGACUCCACUGACUGGUGGUACCAUUCUAUGAAUGGUUGAGCUAGAAGGUUGUGCCAGUAUGGAAACACUUGGUUCCUCAUUAAGUAGAGCUAGCAGGUCCAGAUACCAUAUGGCAUGUGGCCAUUUGGGAGCCACCAGGGUCAUUCUGAGAUUCAAGGUGAUCAUACCCUGUUGAUCACCCACUGUAUCAGACAAAAUGUAGGGAAGGCUUAAGCAUCCAGGUUGUCGCAUGGGUGGUGGAAGGUGUCCUCUGCUACUGCCCAUGGUACUGAGUAUGAUGGAAAAAACAAUGUCAGCUUCCUGUUAUGCCACAUGGCAAACAGGUCGAUGGAAGGAAGCCCCAAAUGCUAGAGAGCCUUUCCAUGAUGUCUGUGUGAUAGGGACAGAACCCUGGCAACUAAACUAAGCUUGUCUGCCAUUACAGCAUUCCUCUUGCCUGGAAUGUAUCUGGCUAACAGCUCUAAUGAGUGUGCUAUCGCCCACUCAUGCACCUGCAUCAUCAAGUGAAGCGAACACGAUACUGAGCCUCCUUCCUUGUUGACGUAUACCGCUAUAUGUACUGUGAUGUUGUUGCUUAUCAACACCACCGAGUGUCCUAUCAGUUGAUCCUGAAACUGUUGGAGAGCCAGGAAGGCUGCCUUAAGUUCCAGGAUACUGAUGUGAAUGUGUUUGUCAUUUUAGUUCCACACACCUGAGUUCAGCAAUGCCUCCAGGUGUGCGCCCAUCCCUUGGUCAAAGCAACUGAGAACAGAAACAUCCCCAGAGGGGGAGUGUGUAGAUUAGAGGUACUCCUGUUAUGAGGGUCCUGUCAUCCAGCCACCAGGCUGAGUCCUGUUUCACUUCCUCCAAGAGAAGAAUGAGAAAGGAUGGAAGGUCCAAUGCUGGAGACCAAAACUCCUUCAUCCUCCAUUGAAGACAACACAGAUGAAGUAGCCCAUGAGGGACCAGCUUCUCUAAGGAUGGCAGGUGUUUGAGAAUGACUAGUCACUACUGAACUGGUUGAUCCUGCCAUGAUAGGAACAGCUGUGCUACCUGCCUGAGACUUCUGAUACUUGAGUCUGAGAGGAAGACUCUUGCUACUGCCAUGUCUAUCAGCAUGCCCAGGUACUUCAUCCUUUGCUUGGGAGUGAGAUUGGACUUCUCAUAUUUAUCACCACCCCAAUGUUAUGGCAAAACUCGAGAAAGUGAUCCCUAUCCCAGAGCAACUGCAACCGAGAACUUGCCAGGAAUAGCUGAUUGUCGAGAUACUUCAGAGGACAUAUCCCAUGCGAAUGGGACCAAGCUGACACAGGAGUGAAAGCUCGGCAUGAACACUUGGGGAGCAGAUUAGAACCUGAAACAAAGUGCCCUGAACUGGUAUGCCACCUUCCCGAGGAUGAAGUGUAGACACUUGCGAGCUCACGGAUAAACGGUUACUUGAAAAUAUGCAUUCUUCAGGUCCACUGUAAGCACAGUCAUACUCCCUGAUGAUCGCGAGCACUGAGCGUAUCUUUUCCACCUUGAACCAAGUCUGGCGAACAAAUUGAUUAAAGGGAGAGAGAUCUAUGACUGGCCUCCAAACCCCCGUUGCUUUCUCCAGAGGAAAGAUUCGGCUGUAAAAGCGUGGGGACCAAUCUAUCACGACUUGCACUGCGCCUUUCUCCAGCAUCACUCAGAUCUGCUCCUAGAGGCCGAGGUCCUUUGGUGCUUUAGCCGAUUACAUAUAAACAGAUUGACUGGAUUGUUGGUGAGGGGCAGUCAAAACUGAAAGGAGAGUCGAUAGCCUUCCCAAAGAACAUCUACUGCCCAUGUCUUGGCUCCGUAUCACUGUCAUGUUGCUCAUUGGCUCGAUAGGCACCACUCCCCACCAGCAGCUGCAUGUGGAAGGGAACCAACCCUAGCAUCCUCCUCUCUUCUUAUGUUUACCUAUCUUUACAGACUGGCAGGGAGGUUGAAAGGGGCACAAGUGCACUCCUUUCUUAGUGGGAACAGAAGAAGGUUGAGUGUUCCCCGGAUACCCUUCAAAGCCUGGGUCUUCUUGGGGUCUAAGGAGGAAUUGCAAGCCUGACCCCAAAGGUCAGGCCACAAGGGCACGUGAAGACUAAACAGUCUUGGUUGCUGCCUGGUGGACAAGAUGGUCGUUGUCCUCUACAUAACAUUUGUCCACCAUAGUGUCCACCUGCUCCCUGGGAAAGAGAGAGGUAGAUCCCAGUAAUGGUCCAUUCCUCAGAGCCAGAGCCAAUUCUGGGUCAACAAACUUGGAAAUAUGGUUCAGAACAGUGUCCCCCACUCGGUUAAACCAAGUUUGCCCACAGGCUUGCCAUCUGAUGGGUCCGGUAGGUGAGUGCCCUACCUCCAGAUUGGCAGUCCCUUGAAGGUGGAAUCUUCCCCUGGGGCAAUAGAUCCCAGUAGUAGUACUUCUUUGGUCGAAGCAGAGGAGGGUUAGCCAGAAGUGAACUCUCCCAGAUGCCAGAGUUCACUUGCUCUUAAUGCCCCUCCAGAAAGCAUAGACCAAGGAAACCCUACUGAAGCCUUGAGUUCCUUCUUGGGUCCCAAAAAGGCUUUGAGGUGCAAUGGACGGUCCAUGGGCACGGCCACAGUUCUUUUCCCAAGAAUGUUGCACUGACGGUUCAGCUUAAAAUGGUCUCUAAAAAGGUCCUCUGUAUCUCAGGAGAGUACGAAUUCUGAGGAAGAGAACCUUCAAGUCCUACCAGAGCACAGUCUACCUGAUCAACUUCCCAUGCAGGAGGGAGAACCUCGACAGAACCCCCACUCCUCUCAACCACUUGGGUAAACGUAUUGGUUAAUCCAAGAACCAAACCCAGUAUGUAAGCCUUUGCGGUGGGGCUGCAUUGGGUAGAAGCGUCCCCCCCUGGUAUAACCCCAGGAGGUUGAGGGGACAGGUGAGUGGGAACGAAUAUUCUUUCGUAUCUUGUCGGAAGCCAAAGUUCAGGCAGGAGAGGAUGUCAGAUGCCAAAGCUCGAGCAAAAGAGGAAAGCUGUUAGUGAUUGCCGACCCACGGUGACGAUGGCUGCACAGGUCUAGGAGAAUGACCCCUCACAAGCAAACAUGGGGGGGAGCUGUCCCAAGGAGAUUGAAUGGGUUCAUGCUGGUGUACGCAGAAGUUAUCCCCAGGUGUAUGCGCUCGUUCACACAAAUGUGAGCAAGGGUGACUGGGGAAAGCAAUUGCUUCUCUCAGGCAUGAACUCAGGCUGGCCUCACAACAUACUCCAGUCUUUUUUGAGGCCGUGGCCUCCUGACAAGAAUACUGUGUGGGGGACCUCUACAAUGCUUUUCCAAGUGUGCGGACCCUCAGGCCAGCAACACCUGAAAAUGGGACUCUGGGUGCCUACUUGGGCAAGUAGUGGCAAGAGGUGAAGAAGCCCCUGCAUGCUUCAUCACCUUCUCUCGCUGGGUGCCUACUUGGGCAAGUAGUGGCAAGAGGUGAAGAAGCCCCUGCAUGCUUCAUCACCUUCUCUCGUGUAAUGCCUUCACCAAACCAAGGAGCUGACUUCUUAGUGCUGGUGGAGGUAACUCGAGGUUUCAUAGAAACCCUGUGUCCCCAGAGUCACGAUUCUGCUUGAAGGGUGGCAUACUUGUAGCUCCCAAAUCACGUACUUAACAAUCAUCAGUAGCUUUUUUCUAUUCGAGUGUUUGAAGAUAUGCGGGUAGAGGUAGUCACUACACUAGUUCUAGGUGGCUUCCAAGAAUUAGUUUCAGAUAUGCGAGUACUCUUGGAGACCCACUCACUUAAAGCUCCCAAAUCAUGAAGUCUCAGACAGACUUGUGACAUAGCCCCCGAGUCCGAAGACUGAGGAGAGUGAGGGAGAGAUCCUACUAUCUCCCCUGUGGAGGGAGGCACCCAAUCAGAAGACCCAUGGCAGGACCUCUGGACUGGAAAAGCAAUAAUCUUCUUCCUCCACUGGUGAGCCAUGGAAGAAGGGGAGAAGACAGCAGACAGUACGAGGAAGAUGAUGAGGAUGAAGGUCAGAAAUACCCUGGUUAUCUCAGAUCUUCUACAGCCAUGUACCAGGGAAAGUGGGCCAUCUACUGUGAUUGGUGUCAUCAAAGGAUUUUCUGUCCAGUCAGCCUACUAUUCAACAAGUAAUAGACAUCCUCAUUUUUCUCCGAAGAGAGAAACUCCUUUCGAUGUCAGUCAUCAAGGGAUAUUGGAAUGCAUUAGAUUUAGUUCUAUGUUUGAAGGAUGUAGACCUCUUGUCUUUAUGGGAAUCUUUAUGCUUCACAGGAGUUUUGAGCAGUCCUGUUCCCCAGAGAGAUCGUAGACCUAAUUGUUCCCUAACACUUGUGCUCAGCAGUCUCACACAUAGUCCAUACGAACCCUUACGGGUUUCAUUAGAUAGAAAUUUAACUCUCAAGAUGGUUUUCCUUUUAGCCUUGGCCUCAUCAAAGUCAGUGAACUUCCUGGACUCCUUUUUUUUUUU